GAUGAAGAACGCAGCGAAAUGCGAUAAGUAGUGUGAAUUGCAGAAUUCAGUGAAUCAUCGAAUCUUUGAACGCACAUUGCGCCCUUUGGUAUUCCAAAGGGCAUGCCUGUUCGAGCGUCAUUUGUACCCUCAAGCUUUGCUUGGUGUUGGGCGUCUUGUCUCUAGCUUUGCUGGAGACUCGCCUUAAAGUAAUUGGCAGCCGGCCUACUGGUUUCGGAGCGCAGCACAAGUCGCAUUCUCUAUCAGCAAAGGUCUAGCAUCCAUUAAGCCUUUUUUUCAACUUUUGACCUCGGAUCAGGUAGGGAUACCCGCUGAACUUAAGCAUAUCAAUAAGCGGAGGA
Molecule: unclassified non-coding RNA, 341 nt
Filed under: soil metagenome
Description: partial contains 5.8S ribosomal RNA, internal transcribed spacer 2, and large subunit ribosomal RNA
Rfam family: 5.8S ribosomal RNA (bases 1-120)
Source: RNAcentral